This 492-nucleotide ribosomal RNA is filed under the name uncultured bacterium. RNAcentral describes it as "partial 16S ribosomal RNA". It matches the Rfam family "Bacterial small subunit ribosomal RNA", at positions 29 to 507 of the family's 1533-position model. The record is from RNAcentral.
AGUGAACGCUGGCGGUAGGCCUAACACAUGCAAGUCGAACGGCAGCACAGUAAGAGCUUGCUCUUACGGGUGGCGAGUGGCGGACGGGUGAGGAAUACAUCGGAAUCUACUUUUUCGUGGGGGAUAACGUAGGGAAACUUACGCUAAUACCGCAUACGACCUACGGGUGAAAGCAGGGGAUCUUCGGACCUUGCGCGAUUGAAUGAGCCGAUGUCGGAUUAGCUAGUUGGCGGGGUAAAGGCCCACCAAGGCGACGAUCCGUAGCUGGUCUGAGAGGAUGAUCAGCCACACUGGAACUGCGACACGGUCCAGACUCCUACGGGAGGCAGCAGUGGGGAAUAUUGGACAAUGGGCGCAAGCCUGAUCCAGCCAUACCGCGUGGGUGAAGAAGGCCUUCGGGUUGUAAAGCCCUUUUGUUGGGAAAGAAAAGCAGCAGGUUAAUACCCCGCUGUUCUGACGGUACCCAAAGAAUAAGCACCGGCUAGCUUCGUG